RNAcentral lists this long non-coding RNA (25107 nucleotides) under Citrus maxima (pomelo). RNAcentral's name for it is "long non-coding RNA (CMAX_LNC003277)". The record is from RNAcentral. Lineage: Eukaryota; Viridiplantae; Streptophyta; Magnoliopsida; Sapindales; Rutaceae.
GGAAACCAAAAGGAGAAGAAGACAUACACAAAAUAUCAAAAAUAAAUACGGAGAGAUUGGUCCACUCCCUUCCCCUCCCCGUUGCCAUCCCUAAUUACUAAUCACAAUCACUAUCGAAAGGGGUAUUGAAUUUUGAUUGGGUGAUUGAUUGGUCACACAGGAGCAACACGACAGCUUGGAGACUGUGACAGUUUUUUUUUUUUUUCCUUUUUCCAUUUUUGUGCAGGUUGGUUAGCUAUCUUGAGUUUUCUCCAUAAGAAGGGGAGAGCUUUACUCUGUAUACUACUAACAAACUCAAAUAGCAUUUCCCACUUCCCAGUCUCAUAAUUGUAAAAAGAAACAACAUCAACAAUCGCUUGCUUACUUCAAUCUGUGAUGUUGAGGCCCUUUUUCUUGCUAAUAUUUCUGCUUAAUUUGGCAGCAUCAGCACUCACUGCUGUUGAGUAUACCAAAAAUGACUUCCCACCUGGCUUCAUUUUUGGUUCUGGCACUUCGGCUUAUCAGGUCCACAACUAAUUCUAACUUCUUCUACUCAGCUAUCUGAUCUGUUUCAGUUUACACUUUUAGUUUGUUAAUUGGAGGAGAAGGAAGGGGGGACAAAAAAAAAAAAGAAACAUCAGAUUCUUAUGAUAUGUAACAUGUAAUAUAGGUAGAAGGGGCAGCAAAUGAAGAUGGAAGGACGCCCAGCAUUUGGGAUACUUUUGCACAUGCCGGUCAGUUUUGUUCUUUCAGAUUAAAUUUGAGUUUUGCCGAACCCCUUAGUUUAUCAUCACUCCUUGUUGUGUUCUUGAUUGUAUAUGCUGAGGUUGGCACUGAAAUUAAACGAGAGUUCAUGCUUGUUUAUGAGAUAUUAGAUAUCAAAGCUUCACCCCUUGUAAUUUUUCACUGAUUUACUAUCACUGUAUUUAUCAAAAAUUUAUCUUCUAACAGCUGUGUUGGGUUUUCUCUUCUAAAUUUUCAGGGAAUGUGCUUGGCAAUGGAGACAUAGCAUGCGAUGAGUAUCAUAAGUACAAGGUGGAUACAUCAUGCCUUAUCGUUAUGAUUCUUCACAUACAACUUGAGGAAAAUUCAAUUACAGUUCAUCCUCAUUUUGUCUAUUGAAACUAAUUGAAAUGGUUAUACAACAAUAACCAACCAACAGCUGGUUGAUUUUGCUUGUUCAUGCAAAACAUUGCAUCUUGUGGCACAAUGAUACCUGUGCAACCCAUGUGCUUUUUUUUCAGGAAGAUGUGAAGCUCAUGGCAGACACAGGCCUAGAUGCCUAUAGACUUUCCAUCUCAUGGUCAAGACUAAUUCCAAGUACGAUAAGAUACUCCUGGCUUUUAUGAACCUUAUAACAAUUAUGCAAUUUCUGAGUCGUUCUCACAGAUUAUCCUCAUUUUCUUCUAUCUUUCUUGUUCAGAUGGAAGAGGACCUGUCAAUCCAAAGGGUUUACAGUACUACAACAACCUCAUAAAUGAGCUAAUCAACUAUGGUCGGUUCCAGUUUUUCAUUACUACUGAUAGAAACUCAAUUUCUUUGCAUAUAUUUAAGGAAAGUACUUCCACUAUCUCCAAUAUACCACUUUUGUUUGAAUCAAGCAGGAAUCCAACCGCAUGUCACAUUACACCAUUUUGAUCUUCCUCAGGCACUGGAAGAUGAGUAUGGCGGAUGGAUCAAUCGAAUGAUUGUGUAUAUUUCUCAGUUCCUUGUGGUUUUAGCUUACCCUUUUGUGCUUGGUUAAAUAACCAAAUCAAUAAAAGUGUUGAUGACUGUGUCUAUAUUUUCUCCAUUUUGAAUGCAGGAAAGACUUCACAGCUUAUGCAGAUGUAUGCUUCAGAGAGUUCGGCGAUAGGGUUUCAUAUUGGACCACUGUGAAUGAGCCAAAUGGAUUUGCAAUGGUAGGUUAUGACUUCGGAAUUGCACCACCUAAACGAUGUUCUUCUUCAUUCAACAACUGCUCUAGAGGCAAUUCUUCCACUGAGCCAUACAUGGCAGUUCAUCAUCUCUUAUUGGCACAUGCAUCGGUUGCAAGAUUGUAUAAAAAGAAUUAUCAGGUAAUAUCCAAAAAAAUUUCAUUCAUGUGCUUCAGUAUUCCAUCUAGUGUGUGACUUAGUCAAUCAUUUAUCCUUCCAGUUAUUUAUAUUGAGUUCAACAAGAAGUAUUUGGCUUCAGCAUCAAGCAUUUAUAGUCUUUCUUGUUAGAAUUGAAAUUUUGUGUCCGCACAUUACUUCCUUAGAUGUCAGUUUUUGCCAUCGCGAUAUCCCAUAUCGCUUUGAGUGUAUGGAAGAAUCCUAGUGCCUAAGGUGAUCCAAACCUUAAUUGGCGAGGCACAUUCUGCGGUUUAUGGUACCCUGCGAAUAAAUUGGUAAGGCCUUAGUAUUAAAGCGGACAAUAUCUUGCCAAAUCCAGAUUGAGUCAUAAAUGAUGGUAUCAGAGUCAUUCCUGACUAGAAGUGUGGGAGCUAAGGUUCUAAGCCCAGUAGAUUCGAAGUGCUUGGUUGUGGGAGAAGCCUAGUACUUAUAAGGGGUGAUCCACAACCUUAAUUGCCAAGACACAUUUUGGGUGUGUGGGCAUCCUGAAAACAAAUUUGUGACAACUCAGGCCGAAUGCAGACAAUUUCUUGCCAGGUUUAUUUUUGGGUCAUGACAGUCAUGUCUAAAGAUAUUGGAAUAAUUGCAACGCUUGGUGAUGCAGGACAAGCAACAUGGCUAUAUAGGUCUAAGCAUCUUUUCAUUUGGGAUUUUUCCUCUUACAAACUCAAAGGAGGAUGCAAUUGCAACUCAAAGAUACUUUGAUUUCCUAAUUGGUUGGUACGAUAAGAAUCUAUAUGUCUUGAGCUCUCUGUUUGGCACUUUUUCUAUUAAUCUACUUAUUUUAAAUUUCAGCUGUAGCUAAUAUUUAUAUUGCACUGAAUUUCAGGGUUGCAAAUCCGUUAGUGUACGGAGACUAUCCCAAAAUAAUGAAACAAAAUGCUGGCUCAAGACUUCCAGCCUUCACUGACCAUGAAUCCCAACAGAUUAAAGGUUCAGCUGACUUCAUUGGAGUGAUAAACUACUACACAGUUUACAUCAAGGACAAUCCCAGCAGUCUGAAACAGAAACACAGAGACUGGAGUGCAGACACAGCAACAAAGUUUUUUUGUACGUUCUCUACAUAUCAUUAGUCUUACUUUGCUGAUAAAUGGCUGAAUUAUACAUGAGUUGAUUCCUCUUUGACUCCAUCAAAGUUCACCUAGUCAAACUCAUCUGUGGCUUAAUUUAAAUCUAGAACUUCCAUAUGGUAGUCCUUAUAUACUUACUGUCUUGUAACUGUGUAAACUCAUUAUAUAUACCAAGUUGACAGGUCAUUUUUUUUUUUCAAAAAUCAAUUUCUGCCUAAUUGAGAAACUAAAACUAUUGAUUGAUUUUGGCAGUUAAGCAGGAUACUGCUGCAUCAUCAAAUGAGGUGGGACUUUUAAGUAGAUAAUCAAAGUAUUUGUUUAAUCUACUUGAUUUAGUUCACUACAUUCCUAAUUUUCUUUGUUUGACACAAUCUCCAAUACAGCCCUUAAGCCUGCAAAUAGUGCUGGAGUAUUUUAAGCAAGUUUAUGGCAAUCCUCCUAUUUACAUUCAUGAGAAUGGUUCUCUCUCUCUCUCUCUCUCUAUCUAUUUAUCCAUCUAUCUGUUGAUGCUCUUGACGACUGACUACAGUAAGUAAACUCGCAUAUGCUGGUCUUCUUCUUUAACUGAUGAAGUAUUUAAAAAGGUAACAAAUGAAGAAUCAAAGAGCUGAAAUCACUAAUCAUGCUGCCUGGUCAGCUACUUGAAAAAAAUUUCAUGCUAUCUUUAUUUUAGUAUGCAACAGGAUAUGGUAGUGGCUAAUUGCACAUGAAAACAUACCUUACAAUAGCAUGCAUAGAGGGGGAAGACAAUAAAAAAGGAAAGAAAGUCCUGCAGUAACUAUUCUCGUGGUGGCAAUUGUGGCCUUGCACCAAAAGAUAGUUGCUGUCAGAUGCAACAUUAAUAUGAUAUGGUCAAUACUUGUUUCACUUUUUUUUUUUCUGAUUCGUUUUGCUUUAUCAUCAAAUGAAUUUUACCAGGUCUGGCCACCCCACGCAAUUCAUCAUUGGAAGAUAUAUCCAGGGUUGAAUAUUUGCAUGCAUACAUAGGAAUUGUGCUUGAUACUGUGAGGUAUGCCUAUUUUGUGCCAAAGUACACCCCUUGAAUGUCUUUUAUAUUUUCAUGAGGGCAAGAAAGAGCUCAUAAGCAUUCAACUCAAGAUAUUUUAAUAGAAAAUUAGUGUGUUAUGGAAUGGUUUUGACUGUUGGUCUUAUGUAAAUGUUGAGCUUUUAAAAGUCCAUCAUUUCACCUCCUUUCCAUUUUUCCUGAAAUGAAGUUAAGUGAUCUGUGUGUAUAAUCUAACUUCUUUACUGUUUGCUUUUUAUUCUUGGAAAAAUGGAAGAAAUGGAUCAAAUACAAAAGGGUACUUUGUGUGGUCCUUCUUGGACGUGUUCGAGUUGUUGGAUGGCUAUAAAUCAAGUUAUGGCCUGUACUAUGUUGACCGAGAUGAUCCGGAUUUGAAGAGAUACCCUAAGCUCUCGGCACAUUGGUAUUCACAGUUCUUGAAGGGGAGAAGCGUGAGAUCAGAUGAAGUCUUCUCUCUCGAGAAAAAUAUUUCAAGUCUUUCUUAUGAUCUCGACUCUCAGUAGGCUAAGAUCUAGGCAAAUAAAGGAUUGCAUUUUUUUUUUUUUAAUUGAAAAAAAUUCGGUUCCUGAUCUUCUUAUGAUCUACUCCACAAUGAGUACCAAAUUCUACAAUUACAGUAUCAUGAUUAAUAAGGUUCAUAAGAUUUCUUUGUAAUUAUCUAUUGAUUUCUUCGGGAACAACGUACAUUUUUCUGCUGAAAAUGCUAAUAAUUAUUUUUAAAAUUUUGUUUUCUAGUUUUUGUACAAGAAAACUCCUGGGAAUGCUCUCAAUAUUCAGCUUUCUACGCCAAACAUUCAGGCACAAAACAUAAAUUUAUAAGAGGAUACAAGUACCAUUGCUCCAUUACAUAACUGACAAAAAGUUCAGUUCCGAUUAAUUUUUCUACUGCUAGAGAAGGAAAACCGAUUAAUUACAUGCAUUGCCAGUUAGAAAUUAACUUUGUGUCAGCUAUCUUAUCUCUGUUAGAAGAAUUUUGAACAUGCAACUCAAUGAGGCAUUUAAAAAAUUCGGGGAUGGCAGUAAUUAACAGCUCUAAUUUGUAUAAUUAUGGAAAUACUUAAAUUAAUAAAACUAGACAAACGUUUAUCUCCAUGUGGUAUUUUGAUUAUCAAGUAGUUGUUUAAUUUAGUUUCUUUGGCAUUGUAUAAUAUUUAUUCACUUUUAUUUCAAACAAAAAUUUUUAAUUCCAAGCAGAGAUCACAAAUGGGCUGGGCAAAGACCAAGCCCAAACCCUUAAAAACCAUGUCAAAAUUUGGACGGGACGGGUCGGGCCUGGGCUUCCCAAAGAACCGAAACUCAAUCGAAAAAGUAGCUUAUGUAUAAAGGCUACAGGGGCAAAGCGAAUUUAAACAAAUAUGAGACGCAAUUAUGAUUUAUGAACAUUUGAAAAAAGUUAUAAACUUAACAAAUGUUUUAAGACAUCAACACGUUCAGUCAGAUUAAUUCAUUCAACGACUUUGAUCAAUGCUUAGAUCUUAUCAUAAAAGUUUUCAUAAAUAAACCUUCAACUACAGAUAAGCACGGUCUGUGAGUAGGGAUGGCAAAACCCUGGACCGGGUCCGGGUAUUGCAAUGACCGAACCCUGCCCGGAUGUAACCGGUCCGGGUCUGGGUUCGGGCCGGGUUUUAAUUCGGGUACCCAAGUUUUAUAUUUUUUAAUAUUAUAUGUGUAUAUAUUUUAUAUUUUUUGGUAAUUUUAUAAAUUUUAAAUUUAUUUUAAUAAAAUUUGUCAUGAAAAUAUAAAUUUUAAAUGUUUAAAACUUUAUAUAUGUAUAAUAAAUGAGUCAAAUAAAUAUAAAUAUUUAAAAUAAUAUAUAUUUUAUAAUUUUUUUAAAAAAAUCUGGGUUCCGGAUUUAUCAAGUGAUGCUCAAGACCGACCCGGCUUCAUACCCGGCCCACAACGCCCGGGUACGGUCCGGGUCCAGACCGGACGGGUAUUUUCGCCACCUGAAUCUGUGAGGGAUUUAAUCGAUUAAUUUUUAAAACGUUUGGAUUAUUUGGUUUUUUCCCCAAACAAGAAGGACUACAAUGCAAAUUGGAGGAAAAAAAAAAAACAUAAAACCCCAACACGGUCUAGCUCCGCAACACCAUCACUCCUCUUCUUCGCAAACACUUCGACUCGAACGCAGAUCCGAGACCUCCAUUACGUGUUCUUAAGAAGGCAUAUGUUGACAGCAUGAUUAAAAUGCUACACGUAGGACCCUGAAACUUGUUCAGUGGUAUGUAAACUGUUGAAAGAGGAGGAUAAUGAAGCAUGGGGUGUUGAGCCAUUUGACUCAGACGAUGCUGAUGCCAACCGCAGUGAGUCUUGUGCGCAAAGGCAUUGUGCGGGCGACCGAUAUUAAAUUUCCUCUGGCCUGCCGAGCAAAGUCAUUUUCUCUAGCGAUUGUGUCAGAUGCCGUGGAUUACUUGUCUCCGAAGUUACCUUAACAGAACUCUUCCAGAAUUGGCUAGGGUAUCUGCUGAUGGUGUAGCAAUAUUUGCUGGUAAAUCCCUUAUUUAGCUUUUUUUAAAAAUACACGUACGAAACUAUUGAUAUUCUUAAGUUCUUUUGAUGUAUAUCGUUUUGUUGUGUAGGUUAUCCACGUCAGCAAAGAGCUAAAGUUUCUGAACUAUCCAAAUUUGGUCGCCCUGUGAGUUAUUACUCGUUGCAGGAUUUCAAUAUGGUCUUAGUCCUCGUUGUUAAAUGUAGAGGCUCUGUUUGGUAGGCAGGAAAGUAAAGGAAAAUGUAAACGAGAGAGAAUUGUUGAAAACAGAAAAGAUGCUUUUUGUGUAAAAUCUUAUUAAUCUGAAUUGAUACAAUGAUAUUUAUAGUGAAGCCUAGAAUCUUCUAAAGCAUGCAAAGCAUGAGCUACAAAACAACUAAACCGUAACCAACUCUUAGCGGGAAUUCAACAACUUUACAAAACAGAAAUCCAGCUCAGCACUUGACUAAGCAUUCCACCUAAGCAACAAUGAUCUGACUCAUCAUUUAAUCUUAACACUCGUAGGGCUUCUCGUGUUCCUAUAUAUUGGUUGGAUUUGAACUAGACCUAUUUACAAUUUCAUUUGAAUGCUGUCUUUGUUACUUCGGAUUGAUCACGUGCUAGCUUUUAAUUUGUUGAGAAACACAAUCCAUACAUUUUGGAUGCUUGAUUGGUCAAAAUACGACUGAUAUCUUUGCUCACUCGUUUUAUAUGGGAUUAUUUUCGAUUCUUUUUGGGUUCAAAAUAUUUUGGUAAGUUUUGGCCGUACAGGCACAGUAAUUCAAGUUCUUUUUUUUUUCAUUGAAGAAAGUUGGCUCCAUGAAACGUUACUUUUCUGUAGGCCAAAUUGCGGAGUUCAACUUGGUGGAUACGGUAUUUUCUUCAGAAUAGCUUGGAAGAGAAUGAAGUAGCCGCGAAGAAGUUUGAACAGGCUUCAGUUAAGAGAUCUUAUAAGCCGGCUUGUCAAGUUUUCCACUUGAAGUCAUAUCACUGAGAAUCUCAGCAACAUAUACUCUCUUAUUGAAAUUACACAUUUGAAAACCAUGCUGGCAAGCAUAUACCCGAAGGGCAAGUAAUGUUGUGUACCAAUCGUGAGACAUUAAAUCCUUCAUCCAAAUAUUUAUCAGGGGAGUGAGUUCACAAGAAAUGCCUCCCCGCCUUUAUGUGUUCUUUACAUUUUGGUUUGCUUCUAAUCUUCCUGCUUCUUAGUAUGCCCAGACCCAUAUUUGUUUUGAUAAUUAUAUGACUACUAAUUACUAUUAAUUUUUUCAUUUUAAUGGUAAAAAAUAUCAGAGAAACCAUGUCUCGGUGCAAUUUGCAAUUCUAAGUGUCAUCUUCUGUAUGUUUUUGCUUAGAAACGGGGUCGGUUGAGCCUUUGAGGGCUCUGGAUCUUGGGCCACUGUAGAACUUGACGAGUUGAGUUCAGUUGUCUAGAAGUUGGGUUAGGCUUUUAAUUGAGCUGAGCUUUUCCUUUUUCCUAAAUAAUAUAUAUAUAUAUAUAUAUAUAUAUAUUUAUAUAUAUAUUAAAGAAACAUCUUUAUAAUAUAGGGCACAACUAUGGUACCACUGUGGUACCAUUCCACAGCUGGAUCCAGCCAUUGGAUCCGGCCUACAGUGGUCCCCAUAGCUGGAUCCAAUGGCUGGAUCCAACUGUGAUAUGGUACCACAGUGGUACCAUAGCCGGACCCUAUAAUAUAUCAUAAAAUUCAAAUUAAAAAAAGCUUAAAAAUUAAAAAAAACGAAAAAGAAAAAGUGAAUCAAACAAAACAAUUCGUUGGUUUUGAACAAAACCCAAACUCUCCAAGUCAAAAUCCCUAAAUCCCUCGUUUCCUCCCUCCCUCACUCACCGUCACCUCAACUUCUCACUGUUCUCGCCGCCGGCAGUCAACAGCGGGGCCAACAGCAUCCAGCAGUGAGCGACGAGCAUCCACCACCAGCACUCCAGCAGCCAGCAGCAGCGGCGAGCAUCUCCCGCCAUCCCGCGCAACCCACCGUCCAGCUCCAGCCACCCAGCAUCUCUCGCGCGACGCAGCAGCAACCCCCACCCACCAGCACAGCCGCGCGACGCUGCAGCAAGCACUUGAACUCGAGCGAGGCAGCAGCAGCGAUUUGCAGUCUGUAGUACGCGAAUUCAAACCACACAAGUAGCGAGGUAGCAAACCAUCCAACUCCGGUCCGGUACUCCUCCUCAAUUAAGCUUCAAAUUUUUUUUUAUGGUAUUAUCAAUACAAUAUUAUGUAAUAUGAGGACAUCACCAGAAUGACGAGUUUAAAAACAUGGGUUUGUUAUAUUUUUCUGUUAGAAUUUUGUUUGGUUUUAAAAUUUUAGCUUUUGGUGGUUAUGUCUUUAGAAUUUUCUUGUCUCUGAAAACCUAAGUAGCCUGUGCUUCUUUAUGUACAGGGAGAGAAAGAAAAAAGAAAGGAAAAAAGGGAUGGGGGGUACAAGUAAAGAUCUUUUGCACUUAGAGCACAAGGAUUCUUCGGCUUCAGCUAUAGGUACAUGUAUGUACUCUCUUUUCCUAUAUAUGUGUAUCUUGCAAGCUCUGUUGUUCAACGGUUGUGUUUAUAUUUGCAGAAUCUGCACUUCUUGUUUGUAGCAAGAAAGACACGAACGCCGAGUUAAAGAAACCAAACCCCGGUAAAAUGCCCAGCUACGGACCAGUUCCUAGAAGCCAAGGUAUUCUGAAUUUCUAUGUGUUCUGGAAGUACUCUCCCUUCAAAAUACUGGCUUCUGGUUGAUAAUUUGUUAUGGGUGUUGCUUCUCUGUGAAAUUGGUUCAUGUGCACUCUGUUUCCAUAGUUAGAUUAUUGCAAAGAUCUUGUUUGAGUGAUAAAUUAUGAAAUUCUCAAAGGAGAAAGAAAUUUCAAAAUUAUUGUUCUGUAAAUUGUUGUAUUAAAGAGUUUCAGAAACCCUUAUUAGAGAAUCUUUUUGUUUCCAAAGUUGUUUCUGGAACUUGGAAUAUCUUUAUCAAAGUUGUUUCUAGAGCUUGGAAUAUCUUUAUCAAGUUUAUGUCAAGGAAUUUUCUCAGGUAUGUAGAGUCAUAUACAUUUUGUAGGUAUUUGAUAGUGUCCGAUAAUCUGUCUCUCUCAUUUUUCAGUUUUGGGAAAAGUUAAAGGUUUUUUGGGAGUCAUAUCAGAGGCUAAUAAAAGGCUCCAACUUGAUGCAAAGGUUUGUCAGCUGAUCUUAUUACUAAAUCUGUACCAUUUAUCUUGAUCCAAACCUUUCUCUCUUAAUCACUAACUUGUGCCUCCUUUGACCAAAUGUAGGAUAAUGCUCAAGAUUAUGAUAUGGAAGCGCUCACCGGAAACGAAUCUGAAGUUAUUGAAAUGGUAAGUGAAGGUCUCUCCCUCUUUGGUCUCUCCCCCUUUCUGUGUUCAUACUUAUAUUGUGGCAGCUGGUCCAUUAACAACUUCAGUUGCAUCUUAAUGAUAGGAUUUAAUGCUGGGGAUAGCUGAUCUGCAUACUCCUGAGGCGGUCAGUGCUGCUGAAUCUGCAAUCGCUGGUAAUCAGCCAGCGAUUCCUUUGCCUGCAAGCAGUAGUGAAACAGAAACUGAAGAUAGUAGCGAUGACAGUGAUGAUGACGUCGAGGAUAAUAAAACAUUGGAUCCCAUGAAUCUGAAAAGAUCCGAGACAAACAAGGAUGAUUCAUUGAGUGAAUCUGCAGGAAACAAGAAAUCUAAAAAGCAGCCAAAAAUUGUUGAGCUCUCAUGAGCACGUCUUUUGUAUGAGUUAGCUUUGUUGUGUAUUAGUGAUUUGCGUGUUGUUGUUGUGUCUUGAUUAUGAAAAAGACAACAUCCUUGGUUGACUAUUUAAUAUUCAUAACCAGUUGAUAUAUAAAGUUUUGUUUUCUUUUUCCUCUAUUAUCUUUGUGUAUUGAACACUGAGUGCACACUUUCGAAAACAGGCAUCUUAUUUUGGUUUCUUUUUUUUUUAUAUGUGAGCCUAUUGAUGGAGAGGCCAUUGAGCUCGGAACAGCGCAAUUCAGAGAGGGGAGAAUUUGCAACGGGUUUUUUGGUUUGCAUCAAGCUGAACAUAUCUAUCAGUGACACAAAUCAAUUUUGUCCAAAAAAUUAAGUUGAUUUUGAGUUUGAAAUUUUUUGACUCCAAUCCAACUGAGUAUGUAAUUGCAUGGGCCAGUGCAAUGAAACGUUAUUGUCCUGCUGGAUCAUCGUUUUUAUAAUAAAAAUGGAUUAGAGGUCAAGAAAUUACAUGUGUAAAAAAAAAAGGAAAAAAACUUUACAAAUGGAUGUUUAACAAAUCACUGCUCAUGUGUCAGUGACUGGUGAAUUGACCCAGCCUUUUCACUGGCAAGAGAUUCUUGACAAAAUAUUUUUGGGAAGAAAUUAUUCUUUUGUUUGGUAAAGCACCGGCUGGACACUUUUGGAGCUUUGUUUUGUUUGUAUCUGUAUCAUUUAUAAUUUUAUUUGAAUUUAAUCUUAGCUACCCCUAGUUUUGGCUCCCAUGGUUUUGAAAAUUUUGAGACUUAAAGGACUCCUAAUUCAGACUCCACAUAUUACCAAAUAAACAUUUGCUUGAAAAAUGCAGUGUUUUGACUUCGAGACUCAACAAUCCAAUACAAAUCAUUCAAUAACCUAAGUUGCACAAACUGUCUUAAUGAUGAUGAUUACAUAAUAUCUUCAAUCCUAGAGUCUUGAUCAAACAAUGAUUAUGCCUUCGUUUGUAAUCUUAUUCACCCUAUCACAUCCCUUCAGGAAGUUAAAAAAAAAUUAUAGGUCCAUAAUGUAUUUUGGCCAAUUGCUAAAAGCCAAGAUGUGUUUCAGCAGCUUAUUAUUAUAAGUUAUUACAACUCAAGCCUAUAAAAGGCGCCAAGUUCAAGUGACAAAUCAAAUCAAACACGCAAACACAAAAUCUAUACAGUUCAUAUUAUCUUACAAUUCAUCAAGUUGUGAAAAUGGUUGCAUUGGGAGCAGUAAUUGCUACUCUGUUAGGAUUUGCCUUGUUCUACGGUUUAAAAGGAAAGAAGAAGAGCAUAGAUUCUUCAAUGAAGAGCUCAGAAAACAGAACAUGCAAAUCAGAUUCAGGCAAAAGCACGGAUAUAAUCAUUGUUGGUGCUGGCGUUGCAGGCUCAGCUCUUGCUUACACUCUUGGCAAGGUGAUAAAAGGAAUCAAAACAUAUCAUUUGCAUUGCUGUCUGUUUCUGAGUAUGUUCUGUAAACUUUUUUAUCUGGGACUUUUUUUUUUCAGGAUGGACGCCGCGUUCAUGUGAUUGAAAGAGACUUACGCCAGCCUGACAGAAUUGUUGGAGAGCUGCUGCAACCUGGUGGAUAUCUAAAGCUAGUAGAGUUGGGUCUGGAAGGCAAGCUCUGACAAUUUGAAUCUUGUUCUUCCAUUUUCAUCGGCAUAGAUCCAUCUUGUAACUUAUAAACAUGUGGCUGCAGAUUGCGUCAGUGACAUUGAUGCUCAGAAUGUGUAUGGAUAUGCUCUUUACAAAGAUGGGAAAAGUACUAAACUUUCAUAUCCAUUGGGAAGUUUUAAUUCAAAUGUGGCAGGGAGAAGCUUUCACCACGGGCGAUUUGUACAAAGAAUGAGAGAAAAGGCUGCUUCUCUUCCCAAGUACUGCUUUCUUUCGUUCAUAUUUGUUCAUUUUGAUUCAUUUCAUAAUUUGAAAUAAUUUUUUUUUUCUAAAUUAUUGAAUUUUCUGUCCAAUCUUAUGUUUAGUGUAAGGAUGGAACAAGGAACAGUGACAUCUCUUCUUGAACGCAAUGGAACCAUCAAAGGAGUUGAAUACAAAACCAAGACUGGUGAAAAGCAUACGGCCUAUGCUCCCCUCACUGUAGUAUGCGAUGGUUGCUGUUCAAAUUUGCGCCGCAAUCUCUGCAAUCCUAAGGUGAAGUUGCUGUGUUAAUCUUGUCAAAUGAAGAUAGUAAAUCAUAGAUCUCGCCAAUUUCUUAUAAGGAUUUUUUUCCGAAAGUUAAAAUUUAACUUGUGAUUAUAAUUCUGCAGGUUGAGAUCCCCUCUUGUUUCGUGGGCUUGGCCUUGGAGAAUUGUAAGCUUCCAUUUGCAAAUCAUGGGCACGUUGUUCUGGCAGAACCUUCACCUAUCUUGUUUUAUCCUAUCAGUAGCACCGAGAUUCGCUGUUUGGUUGAUAUUCCUGGCCAAAAAGUACCUUCCGUUUCCAAUGGUGAAAUGGCUCAAUAUUUGAAAACUGUUAUCGCACCCCAGGUACAUUUCUUUUGCAAGUAAUUUGUGUAGGAGUUACUUGAAAUAUGUUGUCCUUUCAAAACAUGAAAUGCUACUUCAUUUUAGACUAAUUGAGGAACUAAUGUUUCAGAUUCCCCAUGAGCUGCAAACUGCUUUUAUAUCAGCAACUGAAAAAGGAAACAUGAGAACAAUGCCAAAUAGAAGCAUGCCAGCAGCUCCAUAUCCAACUCCAGGUGCGCUUCUGAUGGGAGAUGCAUUUAACAUGAGGCAUCCUUUAACUGGAGGUGGAAUGACAGUAGCCUUAUCUGAUGUCAUUCUACUCAGGGAUCUCCUCAGACCCCUGCAUUCUUUAGACAAUGCAUAUUGUCUUUGCAAAUAUUUUGAAUCCUUUUACACACUGCGCAAGGUAACUAUGCACCACUCAUAAUGCUCUUUACUUGCAACACACUCAAGCUGCUGCUAGCUUAAAAUAUUAGCGUCCAAUUCUGUGCUUGCAGCCCGUGGCAUCUACAAUAAACACAUUAGCAGGCGCAUUAUACAAAGUUUUCUCCGCAUCUUCAGAUCCUGCAACCGCAUCUUCAGAUCCUGCAAGGGAGGAAAUGCGGCAAGCAUGCUUUGAUUACUUGAGGCUUGGAGGUGUUUUCUCAAGUGGACCAAUAUCAAUUCUCUCGGGGCUAAACCCCCGGCCAUUGAGCUUGGUUCUGCAUUUUUUUGCAGUGGCAUUUUAUGGCGUUGGACGCUUACUGAUUCCAUUUCCAUCUCCCAAACGUUUGUGGAUUGGGGCUAGAUUGAUUUCUGUGAGUAUCUCCACUUCAUUUUGUCCUUCCAAGAUUUUAGCCGAUCAGUUUGGCCACAUGACGCGUAUGACGAGAAUAUUGCAUUUGUAUUAGUUAUAGAUUGAUAUCUAACACACACUCUGUAAGAUAACUGGGCAUAUAGCUAAUGGUUAAAAGUCAUAAUAAGAUAGGAUUCUAAAACUUUGUUUCAAAAUUCUUAUUGCAUCAUAUAUUUAUCUUUGGUUAAUUUUGUUUGUUAUUUUGCAGGAUGCUUCUGGAAUUAUUUUCCCCAUAAUAAAAGCUGAAGGAAUUGCACAAAUGUUCUUCCCUGUAGCUGUACCUGCAUACUACAGAGCUCCUCCUGUUAAGUGAGAAUAUGAAAACAAGAAGUUCAAGAAGAUUUUUGGGGAAGAAAUCUCGAUAUGCUGCAAGUUUUUUAUUCAUUGAUUAAUUAAUUCAUUCUUUAAGCAUUGAGUUCUCUUUCACCAAAAUUGGAGGCAGAGCAAGCAAGUCUGCUUGAAGCAAAUUGUAUCAUUAGAUAGCAAUUUAUUCAAACGAAUUAAACUUUAUUAUAUUCAUUUUAUUCCAAAAUUUUCAAGGUAGCAUAACAAGAGUUACAAACAUAUGCAUAUACAUACAUAUAAGUAAUUGCGCUUGUGGGUAUGUAAUAGUGAGAGCGGCCAUUAAAGCAUCUUACCUAGGCAAUAUAUAUAUAUACGUAAAGAGAACAAGAGACAGAUAAAAGGAGAAAAUUCUAUGUAUCACUCAUUUAUUGCUGCAUAUGGAAGUGAAAUCCCAUGCAUUGGUGGAACGUGAAAAUAGAUCACACUGCUUGAUUUUUUUGUUUUUAGAUAUCCGCCUACACAUAACUUUUCAUGACAAAACACUAAGCCCUCCAAGCUCGUACUUGCAUAGACGAUUUAGCAAAGUUUUAAUAUAUAUAAUUAGGAAAAAAUGACCGAAGCACGUCUUUUGUUUAAUGGAAUUAACUUUUGUCUUUAAAACCCACUAGAAUCCCAUACUGUUAUAACUUACAACAUUAAUUAAACAGUCACCUUUGAAGGACAAUUCGAUCAUACAAUAAUAAAUCCGACUUAAACAGCUAGGGCCCCGUUUCUCGGAUAAUCAAGAUUAACCUAUUUUAUAGUAUCAUUAUUUUAUUUAUAAAAUUUCUAAGGCAUGUGGGGUGCUUAGGGCUCUACAUAUUAUCAUUGUUGGGUGAAACGUAGAUGUUGAGUAUUACACCUCUAAUAGUUGUGGGUGAAUGAGAUUUGUUCGAACAAAAUAAAGAAAAAAGAUUUCGUCAAUGGUGAAAUGAAAUUGUUAGAACAUACCUAAAAAUUGAAAUGAGGAUUUGUUCACCACUCAACCGCCAAUGAGUUGUUUUCUAAUUAAUUUGUAUUAAGUUAAAAAAAUUGAAGAGAUUUAAUAAUCUAAAUAACUUUAAAAGAGAAAUGUAUCACUUAUUUAUUGCUGUAAAUGGAAGUGGACUCCCGUACAACAUAAAAAAGAUCACAUAACUUGAUUUUAUUUUUUAUGGAUAUCUACCAACCCACGACUAAAACGUAAUAAAACACAAAGCCCUCUAAUCUCGUACUUGCUUGGAGGAUUUAAGAAAGCUGUUUUUACCAAUUAGAAAGGUCGUUCACCAGCAGCGUUGCCUGGAGGAUCAUAGUUGCAGAUGGCGAUGAAUUGAUGAUUAUUGUUACACCGCUCUUUAGCACAGCCCAAACGCACAGAUUUGCGCCACACAACUUGAGUAUAGUGUCCGCACAUCUGAUUAGGAGCGCAAGUAUUAGAGUUGUAAUCGUAAAAUUGUUUCUCAUCCACCCACAUCUUCACGAUGUGAUCGACGGUAAAGUCGUAGUCAGCCCAUGCAAGGUUCUCACCGUAAUGGCUAACUGAGUGUUCAAUUAUGCAGUCAACUUUAAGUUUUUGUGCAUAGUUAUGUGCAUGAUCCUCCAACGUCUUGUCCCAUGUCAUGCCUAUGCCAAUGCCAACAUUACGACGAGCUUCAUUAUGAAGGUGGACGUACCGUUGCUGAGUCGCAUUAUUGGCUGAGGAGAGAUGGAUUCUUGCAGUUAGGACUACGAGAUGGAAAAUUGCUAGUGAAUUAAUGGGUGACAUUACUUGUGGGGUCAAUUUAGCUUAUUUGAUAGAAUUAUAGGAAGGAGAGCGAAAGCUUGUUAUAUAGGCUAGGGAUGAAAAACUUUUGCUUGUGUACAAGGGGUUUAUAUAGGGAAUGGUGUCGGAAAUCAUUCAAGAAUCGAACGGUCGAAAAUUUCUUCAAAAGUAAUUUUUAAUUAUGUAAGAUACAUAUAAUAAAAGUAGGUCUACUUAAUUAAAUUUAAUUUUAAAAUAAUUAAAUUUUUGUUUGAAAUUUGAUAUAAACCGUAAAUGUCUAAGUACAAUAUAUGAGAGUCUAAAUUUAUCUCAAAGAUGACACCACGUUGAGUAUUUAUUAAAGAAUAAAUCAUCAUGUUGCACAAAUGAUCGGUAUAACUGCGGCUACUUCGUAACUUUUGUUUCAGACAAGGCAAUCGGGAGUGAGUUACUAACUGUACAAGGCAUGAUACGGUAAUCCACCAUGCAUAUAUAUAGAAUGAUAGAUUAUCAUGGAUGGCAGUUGCAAAGAGUGGUAAAUUAUUACAAUCCUACUAAAAAUCUAAAAUUAAAUAGGCAUAUAUAAGUUCAUGAUCCUCAUGGAAACCCUUUUCUUACAAGUUAAUUUUUAACAGUGGGUCUGAUGGACCCUCGAGCCAUAGAAUUUUUUUUCAUAUACUACCAUUAUAAAAAUUUACAAUAUUAAAAAUUUUAUCCUCAAAAUUACACAGUUACAUUUUGGCCCUCUUUAAUUGUCAUUUCUUUAAAAGAGAAAACAGAAUAUGAGUAUUAUGUCUCUCAUAAAUUUAACCUUUAAAUUUGUCUUUAUUAUAUUCUGACCCUAUUGGUUUUUUUUAAAAAUAAAAUAGCCCCUAUAUCAAAGCUUUUGGUUCUGCUAUUGGUUCUACCGAAAGACCAAAUUUUGCUCAAAGUUAUGAUUGGUAACCAAAUAAUCAAUUUUUUAUUUAUUAAUUUAUGGUCAAAAAUUAUAAAUGUACAAGUAGCUCCAUGGCAAGUUUCAUGUUCCUAAAUGUUUUGAUAUAUAUUUUUUUAAUUUUUCCCCUCACAUCCCACUCUCUACAUGUUCAUGCACAAACAAAAUUAAAGAAUUUCCCCCUUCAAGGUGUAAUAGGGAUAAUUAAUCUAUUAAUAUCUUGCAUCCAUGGUAGUUUGUUAAAUCAUAAUUCAGGGAUAAGAAUUCUCUCUUAGUAUUUUUUUCUCUUCUAGUCUCUACAAGUGAAAUAAGUAAUCAAGAUUAAAUUUUAAAUUUUGAUGUUGACAAUCAAACCAAUAUUUUUUACUAGGUUUAAAAGACUAGACGAGACUCGGACAGAAAAACAAUAUGAGAAAACCCUAAUCCAUAAUGUGGCUAUUCCUUUUAAAAUCUUUUGAUGGUUAAAUAGUUGUAUUUAGUUUUUUUUUUCCCAAUCAAAAGAGAAAUUAUAUGUUCAAUUUAUUUUUUUAUUACUUGCGUAAAUGGAAGCGAACACAUAGCUUGAUUUUAUUGUUUUCGGAUAUCUGCCAACGGCAUGACUUAUUCAUGCAUAGCCCUCUGGUCUCAUAUAUAGAGGAAAGUUUCUUUAUGAUCCACUAGUAAGGACGUUGACCAAAAACAUUGCCUCGGGGAUCGUAGUUGCAAAUGACAAAGUUGAGAGUGCCAUUGUUAUUGCACCUCUCUUUAGCACAACCUAAACGCACAGAAUUGCGCCACACAACUUGAGUAUAGAUUGCGCAUUUUGUACCAUUAAGAGCACAAAUAUUAGAGUUGUAGUCGUAUAAUGGCUUCCCAUCCAUACACAUCUUCACGAACUCGGCGGCGGUAAUCUCGCCCUGGCUGCUCCAUGCAAUUGUCUCGCUGUAUUUGCUAACUUGGGGUUUCUUUAAAUUGCAGUUACCCUUUAGUUUUUGUGCAUGUUUAUGUGAAUAAUCCGCCAAUUUGUGGUCCCAUGACAUCGGGCCAACGCCAACGCUAGCACGAGCCUCGUUGUGAGCUUUGAGGUAGUCUUCAGGUUUAUUGUAGGCAGAGGAGAGAUGGAUUGUCGCUAGGGCUAAGAGACAAAAAAUUGCUGAAGUGCUUGGCAUUGUGGUGAUUACUGUUUUAAUUUCGCUUAUCCGAUGGAAAUGGGAAAGAAAGAGCUUAGGUAAUGGAUGGAACCGCUUGCUUGUGUAUAAGAGGUUUAUAUAGGGAAUGGUGUGAAAAUCAUUCAGGAAUUGUAUGGUCGAAAAUUUUUCAAAAGAAAUUUCUAGUAAUACAAGAUAAAUAAAACUUAGUGGCACUUUGGUAAGGGUAAAUUCCCCUUUAAUUUUCAGGGUUUAGGGUAAUUACUAAUUUAUUUUAUGUAUCUUUUAAUUAUAAUUAUUCAAAAUACUCAUUUCUUUUCUUUAAUAUGUGUUAAAUUAACUUCUUAAGCAUACGUAAUAUUUUUGUCUAAUAUAAUUUGAAAUUCUAAUAAGUUAGACAUAUAACAGUUAGCAAAUAGAGAGAAGUGAGGUAGAUAUAUUUUAAUGGAAACAAAGUUAUAGGGAUCUUUUUGAUAAGUUUUAUAAAUAUAGGGACUAACUGAAUAAUUGACUCAAAUUGUAAGGAUUAAAGAAGCAUCUCAUCAAUCAAGCCCCUUGAGAUCACACAAGAAAUUUUUAUUAUAUGUAAUUUACCCGUAUUAGUUAUUAUUUACCAUAAGAGGAAGGAUAAUUAAGCCCCUUAAUAAUAAAUUACAUAAGUUUAUACAAUAAUUUUAGAUUUUGAGAUUAGAAUACUUUGAGUGGUUGAGAUUCAUAAAUAGAUUGAUGGCAUAUGUUAAAGAAUUAUAUGCAUCACUGAUUUAUUGCUGUAAAUGGAAGUGAUCUCGCAUGUCGUGUAAAAUCGAUCACACAACAUGUUUUAUUAUCUUCUUAUACCUACCAAUACAUGGCUUAUUCAUCAUAAAACACAAAUCCCUGUAUGCUCAUACUUGCUUAGAGGAUUUAGGUAAGUCCUUUAUAUAUAUGUAUUAAUUAGUAAGGCCGUUUACCAACAACGUUGCCUGGAGGAUCAUAGCUGCAAAUGACAAACGUGCCACGAUUGUUGUUGCACUUCACUCUAGCACAACCUAAACGCACAUAAUAGCGCCACACAACUUGAGUAUAGUGUCUACACUCCCCACCAACACAAGUAUUUGAGUUGUAAUUGUACUUUGGCCUCUCAUUCACCCAAAGCUUCACGGCCGUCGUACCAGUGAGGUCACCGCUGCUCCAUGCUAAGUUCUUGCCGUAUGGUCCACCGGAGUGCACCAAUCUGCAGUCACCUUUACGUUGAUUGGCCUAGUUUUUAGCGUAAGCCGCUACUUUGUUGUCCCAUCUCAUCGGUCCAACGCGGACGCUAGCACGAGCUUCAUUGUGAGCUCUGAGAUAGUCUUGUUGUGAAUUUUGGGCAGAGGACAAUUGGGUUGUAGCUAGGGCCACAAGACAUAAGAUUGCUAGUGAAAUGUUAGACAUUACGUUGUGACUUAAUUAAUGAGAAAGCUUAGCUGCUUAGGUUAUAAAUGAAAAGUUUUGCUCAUGUAUAGAGGUUUAUAUAAGGAAAUGAUGUGGAAAGCUUAUUAGUUCAAGACUCGUAUAUGGUGGGAUAUUCAAAAGGAAAAAAUUGAAGAUAAAAUUUGCGGCGCCUUAACUAAUCAAAUUGACUGAGUCUAGUAUUUGGACAAAUUAAUUAAGCUCUUAUUGUUACUUUCUUAAUGAAUGAAUUUAUUAUCCCCACAUGAUUACACGUAGUAGAUUUUCCACUUUUUCGUCUGGAAAAAUUGGAGCGUAUUCAGGACAAAUGCUUAUUAUUUAAAAACAAUUGUUAGACCAAAAAACCAACUAAAUCUUACUUAUCAAAUUAUUUAAUUUUUAAAUUAUUCUCUUAUAAUUAAGUACAAGACACUUUAUCUUUUACUUCUAAGAAUGCCAUGUCUUCUUCCUAAUUAAAAUUUCGAAACUGACGUGAACCGAUCCUAGUCAACACGGAAACUGAUUAAUAAACCAGAGUUAAAUGCCUUUAAAAUCAGCUUGUUCAAUUAUAUUCAAUUAAUAACUGACAUGAUUUUGGAAAAUGUCUAUUAUAUAUGGAUUUGGAUCCUUUCGUAACCUAAUUUUUUCCUUGAGCACGUGGCAUUUAGAAUUUAAAUUAUAAGGUUAAGAUUAAAUUGAUUACAAAUAAAUGAUCUCUUUAGGAAUACUCUAAUACUUCAGGAAAAUUAAUUAGACAUGGUCAUAAACCAGCAGAAUCACAUCUCUAGAUGGAAUACUGCUAAUGGUUAGAAACUAACUUAAAAGACAACAACGUUAAUCUCAGAAUAUGUAUUAAUUUAUUAUUCUCCUGAGACAAUGAGGUAACGGUGGAUUGAAUUGCUUGUUGCGUCCGGAUUUGAAAAAAAAAAUAAGAAAGGAAUGGAUGAGUGAUUAGACCCGUAAGUUAUAUUGAAUGGACUUUAUCCUUAUAAAAUGCAUGAAUAAUUAAAAAGAUAAAGAAGAUGAAUAGUAUUUUGACGAUUUUUCCUGAUAGAGAGAGAUUCUUUAGUACAAAUCACAUGAAACUUUUCAACAAAUCACGUGAGAAUAAGUAUACGCGUAGUUAAAAUUUAUUAGGUAAAUGAAUAAAAACUGUGUGAGGAUUUCAAAAUAUUUCUUGAUAAAAUAUGUUAACUAGUAUUGGAUUAGAAAAUUAGAAUAUACAUUUCAUAAUCACUAGUUGGAGAGAGUCUUUGUUGCUCCUAGAGCACUGAUACUUGUCUAUCCAUUACUUGGCACGUGUGUAUAAAUUUUUUUCAUGAUUGUUUAAAGUAUAGGCAUAACAAAAAGUGUUUGUUGUUCCUAGAGCACUGUGAUAUUUAUCUAUGAAUUACUUAUCAUGUAUUUAUCAAUAUUUUUAAUGAUUGGGUUAAAGUAGUGCUCUUUGGAGUACCUUUUUUUUUUUUUAACUAAUUAAGCAUCAGGUUACUGUAUUACACAGAGAUACAUACAACUGCUAUGACAACAGGUCAUUAUAUUGAUAUUUACAAUUAGAUAUAUACAUGUGACUUAUAUUAUUACAUUUUUAUUAUAUGAAGUACAUAUCCAUCCAAAUACCCCUCACAGAGGAGGGAUGUCUCUACUCCACUCGUAUUUCGCAAGGGAGAAAGACGUUAUAAGAAGUCUCCACACAAUUAUGUUUAAUUGAGGGAGGUUGAGUCCGUGGGGACUCAAACCAUUGCCCUCAUAGUCAUGCUUAACUUUGAGGGUAAUGGUUCACCACUGGGCUACAAGCUCAAGUGGUUUCUCUGGAGUACCUAAGUGCCAAAGACUUUAACUUCUCCACUAGCUGUGAUACCAUAGUAAGUUUUCCAUUUCCGUAUUACGUGUAAAUUUUAACUAAUAUAUUAAUAAAAAUAAAUAAAUAAAUAAACUGUUUAUGUUAUGUAACUGACAAUGGGCAAAGUGUAUAGUGUUAACAUUUGUAAGAUAAUGGGUGCAAAAUUAAACUGCUAAGGAAGGAGGUGACAUUUGUAAGAAGUCGGAAAAAUAAUUACAUAAAGUUGGCUAAAUUUCUACCAAUCCCUUAUCGUUUCUGAAUUUUUUGUCCCACCCCUAGUUUUGGUCUGGACUCUGGUAUCGAUUCAUUAAUUUGCAAGGGAAUGAAGCUGCUUAUAAGUACAUAUUUUUGGGGCACAAAUUAAGGAAAAAUGCACAUAGUCUUAUAAUUAGUUACUCUUCACUGGGAUCUAUGUAGGAAACAAUUUUUUUGUUCAAUGGAGUCAUAAAAAUAGAAAAAUUGAGAGGGCCAAGCCAGCAAUGAGGAUGAAAUAGUGAUUUAAUAAACUCGAGUAUGCAAUAACAUAAAAAUCACAUAUACUAGAAGCUCUAGCAUGAGGUUAUUAUUUGUUGGCUUCAGACAAUGUUAUUUUGUUACUGAAAGAGAUGCAAGGCCUUUCCAUGAUUGGUCAAAAUACGAUUUUGGAUGCUUGAUUGGUCAAAAUACAACUAAUAUCUUUGGUUACUCGUUUAUAUGGGAUUAUUUUCGAUUCUUUUUGGGUUCAAAAUAUUUUGGUAAGUUUUGGCUGUACAGGCAUAGUAAUUCAAGUUCUUUUUUUAUUUUUUUGGUUGAAGAAAGUUGACUCCAUGAAACGUUACUUUUCUAUGGGCCAAAUUACGGAGUUCAAUUCUUGGUGGAUAAGGUAUUUUCUUCAGAAAAGCUUGGAAGAGAAUGAAGUAACUGCGAAGAAGUUUGAACAUGCUUCAGUUAAGAGAUCUUAUAAGCCGGCUUGUCAAGUUUUCCACUUGAAGUCAUAUCACUGAGAAUCUCAGCAACAUAUGCUCUCUUAUUGAAAUUACGCAUUUGAAAACCAUGCUAGCACGCAUAUACCCGAAGGGCAAGUAAUGUUGUGUACCAAUCGUGAGACAUUAAAUCCUUCAUCCAAAUAUUUAUCAAGGGAGUGAGUUCGCAAGAAAUGCCUUCCCGCCUUUAUGUGUUCUUUAGAUUUUGGUUUGCUUAUAAUCUUCUUGUUUGUUAUAGGUGUUGGGAAAAUAUGCUCUUUAAAAGUAUAUGUGUUUAUUUAAUUGUAAUAAAUAAUUUUUCUUAUUAAUAAAAUAAAUGAGGUAUUUUAUUAAACUAUCUUAAUUGCAUUAAUAUUUUGAGUAAAAUCCAUUUAAUCAUAUUAUAUGUAUUUAUGUGACUACCAUGUGAAUUCACAGAAGACAUAAAUACAAGUUAUCUUAUGAUUAAAUAAAUUAAGUUCGCAGUUGAUAAAUAAAGUUGGAUACUUUAUUUAGGUAUAGACUGUAAUGAAUUCAUUAAAUGAUUUGUAUUAAUCAUGUAUGAAUUUAUUGAUGUAGUACGACUACAUUGAACAAGAUCACAUAUGAGAUUUAAUUAACUUUGUAAUAACUGUCAGACUUAUUAAAUCUCAUAGGUAUUGAUUUUACUGUAAUCUUAAUCUUGAGUUAGUUAUGAUUUCAUGAUUGUAAUUUUUAUUCUAUUUGAGUUACCAAUGGGCACGACACACACUUGUACUCAAAAUUACCUGAUAUCUUGGUGGGAGCAAUUAUGAAUAUUGGAGUUAUAGAUUGACAAUAUAGAAUUUUUACAACACAUCUCUUGAUGGGUUUUCAGAACUUGAUCAUAAAAUUCUCUGGCCAGAAUGUGUCAACAUAUUUAGUAUGUUGAAAAUGAUCAUUAGAGAAAACCAGCAAGAAUCAAGGAAAAUAUGUAAUUAAAUUGAUUGGACAGUUGAGACAUCGAUUUAAUUAACGAUGUGGUAUAAAGGAUUAUGCAGUAAAGAAAUCAAUGUGAUAUGGGUCGAAUUAUUAUUCGAAAAUACUAUCCUAGAUAGCAUGCAAUUAUGGAGGUCAAUUUCAAUGUUUUAGUGGAGUAUAUUUGGAAUUAAAUAAUUGUGUUAGUUUGAUUACAUGUCUAAUUAUUGUAGCCACUAUUGUAUGUACCCAUAUGAUCCCUAGGUUAGCUCAUUUAAUUAACUGCACCGCUACUAGAUUAAUAAACAAGAUAACUAGCUAUUUGGGUUAAACGCCUAAAUAUAUUAUUUAGUGGGAGACACCAUUUAAUAUGCUUGUGUGUAAGGGGUCUUGUGUUAUUUUACAAUGUGAGCCCCUAUAACACAAGAACAAGUAUCACCACUUUUGGUUUUAUUUUUUUUAAAUUUAAAUCAAAUGUGAUUUAAUAUAAUUAAAAAUUAAUAAAUAUGGAGUCUAGGGUUUUGACCAAAUAUAGAUAUAAAAGGGCUUAUUUUCUCUAAAAGAAGUAAGGAGCCACAUUAUACAAAUUAGAGAAAAAAAUUUCUCUCUCUAAUUUUGAGAGGAAUAUUUUCUCUUGCUAGUUGUUUUUUAAUGGCGAUAAAGGCGCCCAUACGUCAAGUGCAGAUCAAUAUUGAGUCAUAACCUAGAAGAUCAUUGGUGACUGAUCGUAUUCUAAUAAGAUUGGUGGUGACGGAUCGUGAUCUAACAUUACUGGUGGUGAUGGAUCGUGAUCUAUGAGCCUAGAUUAAUUUAGCAAAAAUGCAAAAUCGGAUUGUCAAGAUAUGAUUUUCUAGAUUACGAAUUCUUAUGUAUUGUAUGAGUUCGGUCCUAAAAGUUUUUAUAAAAAUUUAAAAAAAUUGAUUUUUCUCCAACAAUAGGGGUAUGCUAAGUUUGUUAGUACGCCCAGACCCAUAUUUUUUUGAAUAAUUAUAUGACUACUAAUUAUUAUUAUUUUUUCAUUUUAAUGGUAAAAAUUCAUCAGAGAAACCAUGUCUCGAUGUAAUUUGUAAUUCUAAGAUUCAUCUUCUGUGUGUUUUUGCUUGGAAACGGGGUCGGUUGAGCCUUUUAGGGCUCUAGAUCUUGGGCCACUGUAGAGCUUGACGAGUUGAGUUGAGUUGUCUUAAGUUGUCUGGAAGAUCAUGUCAAAAAAAAAAAAAGUUGUCUGGAAGAUGGGUUAGGCUUUCAAUUGUGUUUUAGCAAGCAGUUCUAAUGGAGUGAAAAGAACUUCAACGCGCUAUAUAGUAUACUUUUUCAAUUAGCCUACGCUCUCUCUCCGAAGAACAGCUUAGGCAUUUUCUUUCCUUCGUCUUACAAACAAAAAAGAACGGAUCGGGUCCAACAAUAACUAUUUUGUUUUUACCCAUCGCAAUCGAGGGACAACGACAAUACAUACACUCAAGUCAAAAAAAGAAGGGGCCAAUAAAAUCGAUUUUCUUAAUUCUUUACUUGAAAAUGUCAAAAGAAGACGACAGGCUAGCUAGCUAGCUAGCUAGUCGCAAAAUUCAUACACUCAGGACAACGACAAUACAUACAGUCAAGUCAAAAAAAGAAGGGCCCAAUAAAAUCGACUUUCUUAAUUCUUUACUUGAAAAUGUUUAAAGAAGACGACGGACAAGGUAGGUAGCUAGCUAGUCGCAAAAAUUCCGUUCAUUAAUGCAAUGCAUCACAAUCACAAUCACCAUCACAAGGUCUAUUAAAUUUUAAUUUGGGUCGUUGGUCAUACAGGAGUAACACGAGUUGCACGACGGCUUGGGGACUGUGGCAGACUGUUUUUAUUUUUAUUUUAUUUUUGUACAGGUUAGUUAGCUUAUCUUGAGUUUUCUCCAUAAGAAGGAUCAAGGAGAGAGCUUUACUCUGUAUACUACUGCUAAACUCAAUAGCAUUUCCCACUUCCCAGUCUCAUAAUUGUAAAAAUAAACAACAACAACAACAACAAUCGCCCGCUUACUUCAGUCUGUGAUGUUGAGGCCCUUUUUCUUGCUAAUAUUUCUGCUUAAUUUGGCAGCAUCAGCACUCACUGCUGUUGAGUAUACCAAAAAUGACUUCCCACCUGGCUUCAUUUUUGGUUCUGGCACUUCGGCUUAUCAGGUCCACAACUAAUUCUAACUUCUUCUACUCAGCUAUCUGAUCUGUUUCAGUUUACACUUUUAGUUUGUUAAUUAGAGGGGAAGGCAUGGGGAAAAAAAAAA